RNAcentral lists this ribosomal RNA (600 nucleotides) under Fusarium sp. FSSC_12b. RNAcentral describes it as "eukaryotic LSU rRNA". It matches the Rfam family "Eukaryotic large subunit ribosomal RNA", at positions 1 to 598 of the family's 3401-position model. Lineage: Eukaryota; Fungi; Ascomycota; Sordariomycetes; Hypocreales; Nectriaceae. The record is from RNAcentral.
AACUCUUCUGAAGUUGACCUCGAAUCAGGUAGGAAUACCCGCUGAACUUAAGCAUAUCAAUAAGCGGAGGAAAAGAAACCAACAGGGAUUGCCCCAGUAACGGCGAGUGAAGCGGCAACAGCUCAAAUUUGAAAUCUGGCUCUCGGGCCCGAGUUGUAAUUUGUAGAGGAUGCUUUUGGUGAGGUGCCUUCCGAGUUCCCUGGAACGGGACGCCAUAGAGGGUGAGAGCCCCGUCUGGUUGGACGCCGAACCUCUGUAAAGCUCCUUCGACGAGUCGAGUAGUUUGGGAAUGCUGCUCUAAAUGGGAGGUAUAUGUCUUCUAAAGCUAAAUACCGGCCAGAGACCGAUAGCGCACAAGUAGAGUGAUCGAAAGAUGAAAAGAACUUUGAAAAGAGAGUUAAACAGUACGUGAAAUUGUUGAAAGGGAAGCGCUUGUGACCAGACUUGGGCUUGGUUGAUCAUCCGGGGUUCUCCCCGGUGCACUCUUCCGGCCUAGGCCAGCAUCAGUUCGCCCUGGGGGAUAAAGGCUUCGGGAACGUGGCUCUCUCCGGGGAGUGUUAUAGCCCGCUGCGUAAUACCCUGUGGCGGACUGAGGUUCGC